Molecule: ribosomal RNA, 468 nt
Filed under: uncultured bacterium
Lineage: Bacteria
Description: partial 16S ribosomal RNA
Rfam family: Bacterial small subunit ribosomal RNA
Source: RNAcentral
GAUGAACGCUGGCGGCGUGCUUAACACAUGCAAGUCGAACGGAAAGGCCGAAGCUUGCUUCGGUACUCGAGUGGCGAACGGGUGAGUAACACGUGGGUGAUCUGCCCUGUACUUCGGGAUAAGCUUGGGAAACUGGGUCUAAUACCGGAUAUGACGAUCUCUUGGAUGGGGUUGUGGAAAGCUUUUGCGGUAUGGGAUGAGCUCGCGGCCUAUCAGCUUGUUGGUGGGGUAAUGGCCUACCAAGGCGUCGACGGGUAGCCGGCCUGAGAGGGUGUACGGCCACAUUGGGACUGAGAUACGGCCCAGACUCAUACGGGAGGCAGCAGUGGGGAAUAUUGCCCAAUGGGCGCAAGCCUGAUGCAGCGACGCCGCGUGGGGGAUGACGGCCUUCGGGUUGUAAACUCCUUUCGCAAUCGACGAAGCCUUUUGGUGACGGUAGGUUGAGAAGAAGCACCGGCUAACUACGUG